Molecule: ribosomal RNA, 472 nt
Filed under: uncultured bacterium
Lineage: Bacteria
Description: partial 16S ribosomal RNA
Rfam family: Bacterial small subunit ribosomal RNA
Source: RNAcentral
GACGAACGCUGGCGGCGUGCUUAACACAUGCAAGUCGAACGCUGAAGCUUGGUGCUUGCACUGGGUGGAUGAGUGGCGAACGGGUGAGUAAUACGUGAGUAACCUGCCCUUGACUCUGGGAUAAGCCUGGGAAACUGGGUCUAAUACUGGAUAUGACAUGCCACUGCAUGGUGGUGUGUGGAAAGGGUUUUACUGGUUUUGGAUGGGCUCACGGCCUAUCAGCUUGUUGGUGGGGUAAUGGCCUACCAAGGCGACGACGGGUAGCCGGCCUGAGAGGGUGACCGGCCACACUGGGACUGAGACACGGCCCAGACUCCUACGGGAGGCAGCAGUGGGGAAUAUUGCACAAUGGGCGGAAGCCUGAUGCAGCGACGCCGCGUGAGGGAUGACGGCCUUCGGGUUGUAAACCUCUUUCAGCACGGAAGAAGCGAGAGUGACGGUACGUGCAGAAGAAGCGACGGCUAACUACGUG